RNAcentral lists this ribosomal RNA (305 nucleotides) under uncultured bacterium. RNAcentral's name for it is "bacterial SSU rRNA". It matches the Rfam family "Bacterial small subunit ribosomal RNA", at positions 333 to 636 of the family's 1533-position model. The record is from RNAcentral.
AGUGCCCUACGGGACGCAGCAGUGAGGAAUAUUGGUCAAUGGCCGGAAGGCUGAACCAGCCAAGCCGCGUGAGGGAUGAAGGUACAGAGUAUCGUAAACCUCUUUUGUCAGGGAACAAAGGCGGGGACGUGUCCCCGGAUGAGUGUACCUGAAGAAAAAGCAUCGGCUAACUCCGUGCCAGCAGCCGCGGUAAUACGGAGGAUGCGAGCGUUAUCCGGAUUUAUUGGGUUUAAAGGGUGCGCAGGCGGUCUGUUAAGUCAGCGGUCAAAGCCCGGGGCUCAACCCCGGCCCGCCGUUGAAACUGG